This 74-nucleotide transfer RNA is filed under the name Rhodoluna sp. KAS3. RNAcentral's name for it is "tRNA-Leu". It matches the Rfam family "tRNA". From Rfam's summary of the family: Transfer RNA (tRNA) molecules are approximately 80 nucleotides in length. Their secondary structure includes four short double-helical elements and three loops (D, anti-codon, and T loops). The record is from RNAcentral. Lineage: Bacteria; Bacillati; Actinomycetota; Actinomycetes; Micrococcales; Microbacteriaceae.
GCCCCUAUAGCCCAAUGGCAGAGGCAGUCGACUUAAAAUCGACACAGUGUGGGUUCGAGUCCCACUAGGGGCAC